AACGAACGCUGGCGGCAUGCCUAACACAUGCAAGUCGAACGAGACCUUCGGGUCUAGUGGCGCACGGGUGCGUAACGCGUGGGAACCUGCCCUUAGGUUCGGAAUAACUCCCCGAAAGGGGUGCUAAUACCGGAUAAUGUCUUCGGACCAAAGAUUUAUCGCCUUUGGAUGGGCCCGCGUUGGAUUAGCUAGUUGGUAGGGUAAAAGCCUACCAAGGCGACGAUCCAUAGCUGGUCUGAGAGGAUGAUCAGCCGCACUGGGACUGAGACACGGCCCAGACUCCUACGGGAGGCAGCAGUGGGGAAUAUUGGACAAUGGGCGAAAGCCUGAUCCAGCAAUGCCGCGUGAGUGAUGAAGGCCUUAGGGUUGUAAAGCCCUUUUACCCGGGAUGAUAAUGACAGUACCGGGAGAAUAAGCUCCGGCUAACUCCGUG
This 433-nucleotide ribosomal RNA is filed under the name uncultured bacterium. RNAcentral's name for it is "partial 16S ribosomal RNA". It matches the Rfam family "Bacterial small subunit ribosomal RNA", at positions 29 to 507 of the family's 1533-position model. The record is from RNAcentral.